Molecule: ribosomal RNA, 465 nt
Filed under: Vreelandella stevensii
Lineage: Bacteria; Pseudomonadati; Pseudomonadota; Gammaproteobacteria; Oceanospirillales; Halomonadaceae
Description: partial 16S ribosomal RNA
Rfam family: Bacterial small subunit ribosomal RNA
Source: RNAcentral
CCUACGGGUGGCAGCAGUGGGGAAUAUUGGACAAUGGGGGCAACCCUGAUCCAGCCAUGCCGCGUGUGUGAAGAAGGCCCUCGGGUUGUAAAGCACUUUCAGUGAGGAAGAACGCCUGGUGGUUAAUACCCAUCAGGAAAGACAUCACUCACAGAAGAAGCACCGGCUAACUCCGUGCCAGCAGCCGCGGUAAUACGGAGGGUGCGAGCGUUAAUCGGAAUUACUGGGCGUAAAGCGCGCGUAGGUGGCUUGAUAAGCCGGUUGUGAAAGCCCCGGGCUCAACCUGGGAACGGCAUCCGGAACUGUCAAGCUAGAGUGCAGGAGAGGAAGGUAGAAUUCCCGGUGUAGCGGUGAAAUGCGUAGAGAUCGGGAGGAAUACCAGUGGCGAAGGCGACCUUCUGGACUGACACUGACACUGAGGUGCGAAAGCGUGGGUAGCAAACAGGAUUAGAUACCCUUGUAGUC